This 71-nucleotide transfer RNA is filed under the name Capra hircus (goat). It matches the Rfam family "tRNA". From Rfam's summary of the family: Transfer RNA (tRNA) molecules are approximately 80 nucleotides in length. RNAcentral also lists the same sequence under 1 other name. The record is from Rfam by way of RNAcentral. Lineage: Eukaryota; Metazoa; Chordata; Mammalia; Artiodactyla; Bovidae.
UCCCAGCUGGCUUAAUGGUAGAGAAUCCCUCUGCCACACAGGAGACUCAGGUUCAAACCCUGGGUUAGGAA